CACGUAGGGUGCGAGCGUUGUCCGGAAUUAUUGGGCGUAAAGAGCGUGUAGGCGGCCAGGUAGGUCUGCUGUGAAAACUCGAGGCUUAACCUCGAGAUGUCGGCGGAAACCAUCUGGCUAGAGUCCGGAAGAGGAGAAUGGAAUUCCCGGUGUAGCGGUGAAAUGCGCAGAUAUCGGGAAGAACACCCGUGGCGAAGGCGGUUCUCUGGGACGGUACUGACGCUGAGACGCGAAAGCGUGGGGAGCGAACAGG
RNAcentral lists this ribosomal RNA (253 nucleotides) under uncultured bacterium. RNAcentral's name for it is "partial 16S ribosomal RNA". It matches the Rfam family "Bacterial small subunit ribosomal RNA", at positions 524 to 776 of the family's 1533-position model. The record is from RNAcentral.